UAUGAACGCUAGCGGCAGGCCUAAUACAUGCAAGUCGAACGGUAAGUAUUUUAGCAAUAGAAUACGAGAGUGACGUACGGGUGCGUAACACGUAUCCAACCUACCCUUUACAGGAGGAUAGCUCGGGGAAACUCGAAUUAACCCUCCAUGAGAUCACAGUGUGGCAUCACACAGUGAUUAAAACUCCGGUGGUAAAGGAUGGGCAUGCGUCUGAUUAGUUAGUUGGCGGGGUAACGGCCCACCAAGACGAUGAUCAGUAGGGGAACUGAGAGGUUGAUCCCCCACACUGGCACUGAGAUACGGGCCAGACUCCUACGGGAGGCAGCAGUAGGGAAUAUUGGUCAAUGGAUGGAAGUCUGAACCAGCCAUGCCGCGUGCAGGAAGAAGGCCUUCUGGGUUGUAAACUGCUUUUGCCAGGGGAUAAAAAGACCAUGCGUGGUUAAUUGAAGGUACCUGGUGAAUAAGCCACGGCUAACUACGUGCCAGCAGCCGCGGUAAUACGGU
RNAcentral lists this ribosomal RNA (504 nucleotides) under uncultured bacterium. Its description in RNAcentral is "bacterial SSU rRNA". It matches the Rfam family "Bacterial small subunit ribosomal RNA", at positions 29 to 529 of the family's 1533-position model. The record is from RNAcentral.